UGAAGCGAAAGUAAAAUUUCGUGGAGGUCCGAACCCACGAGCGUUGAAAAGCUCGGGGAUGACUUGUGGGUAGCGGUGAAAUUCCAAUCGAGCCCGGAGAUAGCUGGUUCUCCCCGAAAUAGCUUUAGGGCUAGCCUCAAGGUGAGAGAUACGGAGGUAGAGCACUGAAUGUCCUAGGGGGUAUUGCACCUACCGAAGACUAUCAAACUCCGAAUGCCGUCAUCUUAUACUUGGGAGUCAGACUGUGGGUGAUAAGAUUCAUAGUCGAAAGGGCAACAGCCCAGAUCGUCAGCUAAGGUCCCUAAAUGUAAGUUAAGUGGUAAAGGAUGUGGGAUUGCACAGACAACCAGGAUGUUGGCUUAGAAGCAGCCACUCAUUCAAAGAGUGCGUAAUAGCUCACUGGUCGAGUGAUCCUGCGCCGAAGAUUUCCGGGGCUAAAACUUACUACCGAAGCUACGGCAUCAGUAAUGAUGGGUAGGGGAGCUUCCCAUACGGGUUGAAGCAUGACCGUAAGGACAUGUGGACAGUAUGGGAGUGAGAAUGUUGGCAUGAGUAGCGAGAUGUGGGUGAGAAUCCCACAGGCCGUAAACCCAAGGUUUCCAGGGGAAGGUUCGUCCGCCCUGGGUUAGUCGGGACCUAAGCUGAGGCCGAAAGGCGUAGGUGAUGGACAACAGGUUGAUAUUCCUGUACUACCGAUAACCGUUUGAGAGAAGGGAUGACACAGUAGGAUAAGCUAAGCACACUGUUGGUUAUGUGUGCCCAAGCAUUGAGGCAGUCAAAGUAGGCAAAUCCGCUUUGAUAAUGCUGGGAUGUGAUGGGGAGCGAAAUUUAGUAGCGAAGUAGCUGAUUUCACACUGUCAAGAAAAGUCUCUAUCGAGGUUAAAGGUACCCGUACCGCAAACCGACACAGGUGGGUGAGGAGAGUAUCCUAAGGCCAGCGAGAGAACUGUUGUUAAGGAACUCGGCAAAAUGACCCCGUAACUUAGGGAUAAGGGGUGCCACCAUCAGGUGGCCGCAGAGAAUAGGCCCAAGCGACUGUUUACCAAAAACAUAGGUUUCUGCUAAGUCGCAAGACGAUGUAUAGGAGCUGACGCCUGCCCGGUGCUGGAAGGUUAAGGGGAUCUGUUAGAG
Molecule: ribosomal RNA, 1131 nt
Filed under: Clostridioides difficile
Lineage: Bacteria; Bacillati; Bacillota; Clostridia; Peptostreptococcales; Peptostreptococcaceae
Description: bacterial LSU rRNA
Rfam family: Bacterial large subunit ribosomal RNA
Source: RNAcentral